AUAUAUAAACUACGACUUGGUCAACAAAAAAUGAAUUGCCGUAUGCAAAGCAUGCAGUUCGAAUAUUACAGACGGAGACGCAAUAACUUCCAACUUCGUUCGACAUUUUAAGUUGCACAAAGAAGGGCCAGCAGAGAAGGCCUGGCUGGCCCUGACGGCACACCACUGGGUGACUGCCACACAUUGCCUGGAUAAGACGGACAAUGAGUGGCACCCCAUUGGAUCAUCUUGGAGAAACAGUGCCUGCAUGGAUUGCUCUUGCAGCGGGUGCUGCACUGCGUAUAGCAUUCCCAGCCAAUUCCCCGCAGAUUGUGUGUCCGUUCUCGACCCGGUGGCAUGUAAAUACAAAGUUUACAAGAGGGACAACCCAUCAGAAGAAUGUCCCGUUUUUGGUGCGGUUGGAAAGUAAUGGAAAAAAAUGUCACCAUGCGUUGACCCUCUUUUUACAUUUGCAACACAAAAAUGUCACGUGCUUACAAAUGGAAAACAAUAAAACAUACAAUCCCUCAUUGA
Non-coding RNA from Nerophis lumbriciformis (worm pipefish), 513 nucleotides. The record is from RefSeq and is a predicted model, not a curated record. NCBI's taxonomy places the organism in Eukaryota, Metazoa, Chordata, Actinopteri, Syngnathiformes, Syngnathidae.